AUUGAACGCUGGCGGCAGGCCUAACACAUGCAAGUCGAACGGCAGCGGGGGGUAGCUUGCUACCCCGCCGGCGAGAGGCGGACGGGUGAGUAAUGCCUGGGGAGCUGCCCAAUCGAGGGGGAUACCAGUUGGAAACGACUGCUAAUACCGCAUACGCCCUGAGGGGGAAAGGUGAGGAUCUUCGGACCUACCGCGAUUGGAUGCACCCAGGUGGGAUUAGCUAGUUGGUGAGGUAACGGCUCACCAAGGCGACGAUCUCUAGCUGGUCUGAGAGGAUGACCAGCCACACUGGAACUGAGACACGGUCCAGACUCCUACGGGAGGCAGCAGUGGGGAAUAUUGCACAAUGGGGGAAACCCUGAUGCAGCCAUGCCGCGUGUGUGAAGAAGGCCUUCGGGUUGUAAAGCACUUUCAGCGAGGAGGAAAGGUGGCUAGCUAAUACCUAGUUGCUGUGACGUUACUCGCAGAAGAAGCACCGGCUAACUCCGUGCCAGCCGCCGCAGUAA
Molecule: ribosomal RNA, 506 nt
Filed under: uncultured bacterium
Lineage: Bacteria
Description: partial 16S ribosomal RNA
Rfam family: Bacterial small subunit ribosomal RNA
Source: RNAcentral